AGCUGCAGAGGGAGACAGGGACCUGGUCUGCUCCCCACUACCCUCCUGGUCCAGUGGGAACCCUGGCCCCACUGAGAACCAAUCUCCUGAGGAGAUGAGCCAGGACAAAGGUCUCACUUGCCUGUCAAGCAGCUGUGGUGUGACCUGGUCUGUAGCCCCAACUACCCCAACUAGCAUACCCUCAGUGGGAGAGACAGAACUCAUCCCACUGGAUAGUCUGGUUCCUGAGAUGUGUGCUCCUCUGCUCAAGGAUUCCCACUGCAAGGAUGAGAAACCUGAAGGAUACACGGGAGAGGCUGAAGGAAGCUGGUGUACAGGAAAUGGCCCGUGGGAAUCUUCUUUCUGUGGCCUGGUUCAACCUCAAAUACCAAUGUUCUGACACUGGUUGUAUGACCUAGAUAGGGUAGGGUCUUGGCUUUCUCUUGAGGCCUCAGUUUCCCCAUUUAUAAAACAAUCAAAAUUGAUCUCAGAUCCAUCCCUCCUAGUGCUGAUGUUCCAAGACCAAAAGGCCCAGAAGAGUGGGCCUAGCUAAUGUUUCUGGGCCUCAUCGUGGUAACAUGCACAGCCCUUGCCACUCCCCCAUGGCCCAUGUAGAAACAACCAUGUGGCCUUCACUCUGCCCACAGAAGCUAGCACCAGGACCCUGGUCAGGGUUAGAGGUUUCUGCUGAGUCAAAGCCACAUGGAGGGAGGGAGCAAGGGAGAGAUGCAGAGUCAUGUUUCCAGGAGGAGGUUAUCUGAGCAUAACAGGGACAGGGUGGGCCACAGGAUACCUCUGAGGCUCAGGUUCCCACCUCCACUCCACCCAAGCCUUCAAU
Molecule: long non-coding RNA, 817 nt
Filed under: Homo sapiens (human)
Lineage: Eukaryota; Metazoa; Chordata; Mammalia; Primates; Hominidae
Description: non-protein coding lnc-PQBP1-1:1
Source: RNAcentral